This 766-nucleotide ribosomal RNA is filed under the name uncultured Bacillota bacterium. RNAcentral's name for it is "bacterial SSU rRNA". It matches the Rfam family "Bacterial small subunit ribosomal RNA", at positions 560 to 1334 of the family's 1533-position model. The record is from RNAcentral. Lineage: Bacteria; Bacillati; Bacillota.
GUAAAGGGAGCGCAGGCAGGAAGACAAGUUGGAAGUGAAAUCCAUGGGCUCAACCCAUGAACUGCUUUCAAAACUGUUUUUCUUGAGUAGUGCAGAGGUAGGCGGAAUCCCGGUGUAGCGGUGGAAUGCGUAGAUAUCGGGAGGAACACCAGUGGCGAAGGCGGCCUACUGGGCACCAACUGACGCUGAGGCUCGAAAGUGUGGGUAGCAAACAGGAUUGGAUACCCUGGUAGUCCACACUGUAAACGAUGAUUACUAGGUGUUGGAGGAUUGACCCCUUCAGUGCCGCAGUUAACACAAUAAGUAAUCCACCUGGGGAGUACGACCGCAAGGUUGAAACUCAAAGGAAUUGACGGGGGCCCGCACAAGCAGUGGAGUACGUGGUUUAAUUCGACGCAACGCGAAGAACCUUACCAAGUCUUGACAUCCUGCGACGCACAUAGAAAUAUGUGUUUCCUUCGGGACGCAGAGACAGGUGGUGCAUGGUUGUCGUCAGCUCGUGUCGUGAGAUGUUGGGUUAAGUCCCGCAACGAGCGCAACCCUUAUGGUCAGUUACUACGCAAGAGGACUCUGGCCAGACUGCCGUUGACAAAACGGAGGAAGGUGGGGAUGACGUCAAAUCAUCAUGCCCUUUAUGACUUGGGCUACACACGUACUACAAUGGCGUUAAACAAAGAGAAGCAAGACCGCGAGGUGGAGCAAAACUCAGAAACAACGUCCCAGUUCGGACUGCAGGCUGCAACUCGCCUGCACGAAGUCGGAAUUG